UGACAAGAAAUACCACAUGGUUGGGCCAAUUCGACACUGAGCAGUGGGAAUAGGGGAUGAUACCUUGAUCUCGGUGAGGUAGAAAAAAAGAAAUUAAAUGAAAAAUUGGGAAGAAAAUAAAGGGAAGAAGAAAACUGGCGUUCACUUGGUGCCUCGAACGCACAAUCUCCCGCUCUGGAGGCGAUCGCCUUGUCCAUUAGGACUAAAUUUAUUUUACCAGAUUCUAUCUAUGAAGAACUUCCGACCUGUUACGACCAAUGCGCCAUUUGAGCUGCUAAACCUCGAACGGGAUUAAGCAGAAGAAGAAAGGGAAGAUAAUCAACCGAAGUCUCAAUCCAUCUCAAUGGCGAUGACCAUAUCCAACUCCUUUCACUGCCGUAAGCUGCAACUCCUCCAUAAGAAUUACACUCCCGGUCCCCGCGGCUUGCUCUCCCCUUCCUUCGUCAGAUUUUGUAGGACGGUGCCACGAAGGAGUUUAGUAACCUAUUUUGCAGCAUCUGCUGCUGGGAGUUCCAAUUCAGAUGGCAACCUUAACCCGUAUGAGGUUUUGGGAAGUUAGCCCUAUUGAAGAAUUCGACGUGAUUAAGGCGGCAUAUACCAAAAAAACGUAAGGAUGCUGAGAGGAGAGGGGAUGAAGCAACUGCUUCCCAAGUAGAUUACAAUGCCUUCUUUCUCGACAUUCAACCUAGUGUUCAAAGAAUGAAGUGGUCUAUGCAUGGAUCAGCUGGAGAAGGUGUGUGACAGGGUGAUGAUGGCACAAUUGAGCAACAGGAAAAUGGGUGUCACAUUUGGCUCCUUCAAGGUUCUCCAAAUCCUCUGACCAAGAUUCUCGCACCAACAUGGCAAUAUCUGCUGCAUUUGUAGCUUGGGUCCUGAUCAAGCAAAACGCUGAAUACAAGCCACUGCAAUUCUUGGCAUUUGUUUUUGUUUAUUGGAUUUUCGAGAAGUGGAAAGCAUUUGAACCACCUGUAUCUCCCACAUUUACGGAAGAUGGUGAGGAUCCAGGUCGGGGAGUGCGAAUGGGAAAAAGACGGCUUCGUUCUCUUGCUUUAAUUUUCGGUUGCAUUGCCUUUACUUCUCUGGCUUUUACAAUUUGAUCGAGUUUGUAGGCGGUUACGUUCCGGCCUUCCUUUACAAUCACCAGGAAGAGGCCACACUAAUUGAAUAGGCAAAGCUGAUAAAGAACAUGAAAACAGUAGACUAAUUUAGCAAAAACUACUGUUAUUGAUUAAAAAAUGCCACUUAUGGUUUCUGUGUAGGCUUGAGUUCGGUUUAACUAGCAAUUUGUGAGAACCAUUUGUCGGAAAUGAUGCUCCAUGAAAAGCGUUGUGCAAGAUAAGAAUGUUGCGGUGGCUAAUUUUUAAACUAAGAGAAAUUCGGUCUAUUUGGAUUUGGUCUGUUGGGUUUUCCUUGUCCUACUCUUUUGAGAAUACGAAGGAAGUAAAUUAUGCUAGAUCUGACUUGACCAUAGACACUGAAUUGUCUUUAAUUGAACAUAUACGUUUGGGUUCUUUUAUUGCGCAGAGUUCGGUAGCAGAGUAUUAGCUUUAAUAAAAUUGAUGUGUGGGUUGCAGAAAAUUACAUAUAUAGUGCUGUGAGAACAACCAGAGAGCAAGUCAAGUUCAGGAUAUGUUCUAGUUCUUCCGACGGAUCUUUUGUUAGGAAACAACGAGGAAACAAACAAUGAAAUUAUUCAAAGCCUCUGCAGCAAAGGAAGAUUAGUGCAUGCAGCGAAGCUGGUAGAUGCCAUGGGGGCGGCAUAAACUUACUUGGUAGAUGCCAAAGUCCUGACGGUAAUGGUUAUGUCUGGUGGGGUUCCAGACGUACAAUAUGAUGACUGGUCGUCUUUGUAAGAGCGAGCGGACAGCUGAGAGCUGCCAUUGAUCUCUUCGAAGAUAUGAGCUCGAGCGGUUGCUCUCCCGCCCGUAAUCUCUUAUUACUCCAUUAUCCGCACUGCAGUAUGUUUGAUCAUGGUAAUCAUGAUCAGGCUAUUGGGUUUUGGAAGGACCAACUGCGGAAGGGCUGCGGCUGCCCGCCUUUUCUGGUCACUUACACUAUAUAUUAUCUUCUAGUUGUAUGGUAAUAUAUAAUGGAGGAACAAAUAGAUAGAUUAUUAGAAAAGUUGUCCAGAAAUUAAGGUAAU
Punica granatum (pomegranate) is the source of this 2143-nucleotide non-coding RNA. Lineage: Eukaryota; Viridiplantae; Streptophyta; Magnoliopsida; Myrtales; Lythraceae. The record is from RefSeq and is a predicted model, not a curated record.